GAUGAACGCUAGCGACAGGCCUAACACAUGCAAGUCGAGGGGCAGCACGAUUGAAGUUUACUUUAAUUGGUGGCGACCGGCGCACGGGUGCGUAACACGUAUGCAAUCUACCUGUAAGUGGGGAAUAACCCGGAGAAAUCCGGACUAAUACCGCAUAAUACUAAGACACCGCAUGGUAUUUUAGUUAAACAUUUAUGGCUUACAGAUGAGCAUGCGCAUGAUUAGCUAGUUGGUAAGGUAACGGCUUACCAAGGCAACGAUCAUUAGGGGUUCUGAGAGGAAGGUCCCCCACACUGGUACUGAGACACGGACCAGACUCCUACGGGAGGCAGCAGUGAGGAAUAUUGGUCAAUGGGCGAGAGCCUGAACCAGCCAAGUCGCGUGAAGGAUGACUGCCCUAUGGGUUGUAAACUUCUUUUAUAAGGGAAUAAAAAGAGGAACGAGUUCUUUAUUGUAUGUACCUUAUGAAUAAGCAUCGGCUAACUCCGUGCCAGCCGCCGCAGUAAAAC
RNAcentral lists this ribosomal RNA (509 nucleotides) under uncultured bacterium. RNAcentral's name for it is "bacterial SSU rRNA". It matches the Rfam family "Bacterial small subunit ribosomal RNA", at positions 28 to 526 of the family's 1533-position model. The record is from RNAcentral.